Molecule: small nucleolar RNA, 75 nt
Organism: Nannospalax galili (Upper Galilee mountains blind mole rat)
Lineage: Eukaryota; Metazoa; Chordata; Mammalia; Rodentia; Spalacidae
Source: RefSeq, a predicted model, not a curated record
GGCAUGUGAUAACACCUGGCUAUGAUGCAAACUCCCGAUUGUGCAGCAAGGAGGCCAACUGUGGUGAACUGAACC